Molecule: ribosomal RNA, 354 nt
Filed under: uncultured Acholeplasma sp.
Lineage: Bacteria; Bacillati; Mycoplasmatota; Mollicutes; Acholeplasmatales; Acholeplasmataceae
Description: bacterial SSU rRNA
Rfam family: Bacterial small subunit ribosomal RNA
Source: RNAcentral
UCAGGGAGACAGGUGGUGCAUGGUUGUCGUCAGCUCGUGUCGUGAGAUGUUGGGUUAAGUCCCGCAACGAGCGCAACCCUUAUUGCUAGUUACCAUCAUUAAGUUGGGGACUCUAGCGAGACUGCCAGUGAUAAACUGGAGGAAGGUGGGGAUGAACGUCAAAUCAUCAUGCCCCUUAUGACCUGGGCUACAAACGUGAUACAAUGGCUGAAACAAAGGGCAGCGAAGGAGCGAUCUGGAGCGAAACCCAAAAAGCAGUCUCAGUUCGGAUUGAAGUCUGCAACCCGACCUCAUGAAGUCGGAAUUGCUAGUAAUCGCGGAUCAGAACGCCGCGGUGAAUACGUUCUCGGGUUU